This 448-nucleotide ribosomal RNA is filed under the name uncultured bacterium. Its description in RNAcentral is "bacterial SSU rRNA". It matches the Rfam family "Bacterial small subunit ribosomal RNA", at positions 330 to 794 of the family's 1533-position model. The record is from RNAcentral.
CCCAGACUCCUACGGGAGGCAGCAGUGGGGGAUAUUGCACAAUGGGGGGAACCCUGAUGCAGCGACGCCGCGUGGGCGAUGGAGUACUUCGGUAUGUAAAGCCCUAUCAGCAGGGAAGGAAAUGACGGUACCUGACUAAGAAGCCCCGGCUAAAUACGUGCCAGCAGCCGCGGUAAUACGUAUGGGGCAAGCGUUAUCCGGAUUUACUGGGUGUAAAGGGAGCGUAGGCGGCCUGGCAAGCCUGAUGUGAAAUACCGGGGCCCAACCCCGGGGCUGCAUUGGGAACUGCCAGGCUGGAGUGCCGGAGAGGCAGGCGGAAUUCCUAGUGUAGCGGUGAAAUGCGUAGAUAUUAGGAGGAACACCAGUGGCGAAGGCGGCCUGCUGGACGGUGACUGACGCUGAGGCUCGAAAGCGUGGGGAGCAAACAGGAUUAGAUACCCCCGUAUGC